This 1159-nucleotide unclassified non-coding RNA is filed under the name Hevea brasiliensis (rubber tree). The record is from RNAcentral. Lineage: Eukaryota; Viridiplantae; Streptophyta; Magnoliopsida; Malpighiales; Euphorbiaceae.
AGCACAAUAUCUUCUACCAAUCAUAGCAUUAAUUUUUCAAGAAAUUUCUUCAGAUGGAGAAUGGAAAGAAGAGCAUGGCCGUUUUGGUUGGAUGUAAUUACCCAAACACCAACAACGAGUUGCAUGGUUGCAUUAAUGAUGUCUUAGCCAUGAGAGAUGUGCUUAUCAACCGAUUUGGGUUGGACCCUAGCCAUAUCCAGCUCCUAACUGAUGCACCUGCACCUGGGUCCUCAUCAUCGUCAUCACUGGUCAUGCCGACUGGUGCUAACAUAAAGAAGGCUCUUGAUCAGAUGGUUGAUCAGGCUCAACCAGGAGAUCUCCUGUAUUUCCAUUACAGUGGACAUGGAACAAGAAUCCCUUCUCUGAAGCCUGGCCAUCUCUUUAGGCAGGACGAGGCUAUUGUCCCCUGUGACUUCAAUCUCAUCACAGAUAUGGACUUCAGGCAACUAGUGAACCGGCUACCAAAGGGAGCAAGCUUCACAAUUCUUUCAGAUUCAUGCCACAGUGGUGGUCUCAUUGACAAAGAGAAAGAACAAAUCGGGCCUAAUUCACUAAUCACAGCUGAUCCAAAAAUGCAAAUCUCUCAUAAACCUAAAGCCAUCUCAUUUGAAUCAAUACUCCAACACUUGACAUCCCUCACAGGCAUAAACACAACUGAUAUUGGCACUCAGUUGUUAGAGUGCUUUGGAGCCAAUGCCAGCUUAAAAUUCAGACUUCCGAGGCUUGAAUUCGAUAAUUUUCUUGAAUUGUUGAAGCCUGAUGAUGGAAUUUUGUUAAGUGGGUGCCAAGCAAAUGAGACUUCAGCAGAUAUGAACCCAGUUGAGAGUGGAGGAAAAGCUUAUGGAGCAUUUAGCAAUGCAGUGCAACUGGUAUUGAAAGAGCAAUCUGAUCAAUUGAUUAGUAAUAGGCAGGUGGUGAUGUUGGCUAGAAAGGUGUUAGAGGCACAAGGGUUUGAGCAGCAUCCUUGCUUGUAUUGCAGUGAUGAGAAUGCUGAUGCUGCUUUCUUGUGGCAGCCGGAAAGCCAGAGCUAGAGCUAGCUCAUGUUUAUUUAUGUAUGAUGGUCUUGCUGUGUUUGUCGCCCCAGAGCAAUUGCUUUGUUGAAUUAAUAAUCACUUCGUAAUAAUUAAUAAAAGUGGCAAUUUAAUAUGGUGAAUCCAUU